This 840-nucleotide ribosomal RNA is filed under the name uncultured bacterium. RNAcentral describes it as "bacterial SSU rRNA". It matches the Rfam family "Bacterial small subunit ribosomal RNA", at positions 22 to 870 of the family's 1533-position model. The record is from RNAcentral.
GCUCAGAAUCAACGCUGGCGGCAUGCCUAACACAUGCAAGUCGAGCGAGAAAGUGUAGCAAUACAUGAGUACAGCGGCGCACGGGUGAGUAACACGUGGAUAACCUGCCUCAAAGUGGGGAAUAACACCGGGAAACCGGUGCUAAUACCGCAUAUUCUGACGAGAUCUGCGGAUUUGUCAGGAAAGGAGCAAUUCGCUAUGAGAGGGGUCCGCGGCUGAUUAGCUAGUUGGUGAGGUAAUGGCUCACCAAGGCAACGAUCAGUAGCCGGUCUGAGAGGACGGUCGGCCACACUGGAACUGAGACACGGUCCAGACUCCUACGGGAGGCAGCAGUGGGGAAUUUUUCGCAAUGGGGGAAACCCUGACGAAGCAAUGCCGCGUGGAUGAUGAAGUAUUUCGGUACGUAAAAUCCUUUCGACAGGGACGAAACCGCAAGGUUGACGGUACCUGUAGAAGAAGCCCCGGCUAACUCCGUGCCAGCAGCCGCGGUAAUACGGGGGGGCAAGCGUUGUUCGGAAUUACUGGGCGUAAAGGGUGCGUAGGCGGCUUUCUAAGUUGGAUGUGAAAACUCUGGGCUCAACCCAGAGCCUGCAUCCAAAACUGGAGAGCUUGGGUUCUGGAGGGGAAAGCGGAAUUCCUGGUGUAGCGGUGAAAUGCGUAGAUAUCAGGAGGAACACCGGUGGCGAAGGCGGCUUUCUGGACAGAUACCGACGCUGAGGCACGAAAGCUAGGGGAGCAAACAGGAUUAGAUACCCUGGUAGUCCUAGCCCUAAACGAUGGAUACUUGCUGUGAGGGGGAUUGAAACCCUUUGUGGCGAAGCUAACGCAUUAAGUAUACCC